RNAcentral lists this ribosomal RNA (497 nucleotides) under uncultured bacterium. RNAcentral describes it as "partial 16S ribosomal RNA". It matches the Rfam family "Bacterial small subunit ribosomal RNA", at positions 28 to 507 of the family's 1533-position model. The record is from RNAcentral.
GAUGAACGCUGGCGGCGUGCCUAAUACAUGCAAGUCGAGCGAACAGACGAGGAGCUUGCUCCUCUGACGUUAGCGGCGGACGGGUGAGUAACACGUGGAUAACCUACCUAUAAGACUGGGAUAACUUCGGGAAACCGGAGCUAAUACCGGAUAACAUGUUGAACCGCAUGGUUCAACAGUGAAAGACGGUCUUGCUGUCACUUAUAGAUGGAUCCGCGCCGCAUUAGCUAGUUGGUAAGGUAACGGCUGACCAAGGCAACGAUGCGUAGCCGACCUGAGAGGGGGAUCGGCCACACUGGAACUGAGACACGGUCCAGACUCCUACGGGAGGCAGCAGUAGGGAAUCUGCCGCAAUGGGCGAAAGCCUGACGGAGCAACGCCGCGUGAGGGAAGAAGGUCUUCGGAUCGUAAAACUCUGUUAUUAGGGAAGAACAAAUGUGUAAGUAACUAUGCACGUCUUGACGGUACCUAAUCAGAAAGCCACGGCUAACUACGUG